RNAcentral lists this non-coding RNA (89 nucleotides) under bovine gut metagenome. The record is from RNAcentral.
AGCGGGGAGCUUGUGUGACAGGCUGAGAGGAAAGUGUUACUUUCGACCUAUGACCUGAUUUGGAUAAUGCCAACGUAGGGAAAUGAUAU